This is a long non-coding RNA of Gadus macrocephalus (Pacific cod), 780 nucleotides long. RefSeq lists it as uncharacterized. The transcript has 2 exons. NCBI's taxonomy places the organism in Eukaryota, Metazoa, Chordata, Actinopteri, Gadiformes, Gadidae. The record is from RefSeq and is a predicted model, not a curated record.
UGUGGGUAAAAAAAAUAAAAACAUCCCCUAAACCGUUAACCAGCCCAGUGGCUCAGCCGGGUUAAAGCUCACCAGGGCAGAGGUGCCUUUCAGCCUGGUCUGAGUGGCCCGUGAGUCCGAGUCGCCCCCCCUCGGAGGUGGGUGGGUGGGUGGGGGGGGGUGGGGGGGGCCCGAUGGCUCUCCGGCUGGACGGAGAGUUCACACGGCUCCAGACGGGGGACGCUGUGGGCCCGUCUGGAAGCGUUUAGCCUCACCCUUCGCCUCCUCCCCUCCCUCCCCCAUGGCUGAUAUACAACCUCCUCUUUACAGCCUCACAGCCGCCACCAUCGGCCGUUUGAUCUCCCCGUCACUCUCAAACUCUCUCCCCCAUUCAUUCUCUGUCUCCCCGCCCUCUCUCUUCCCCCCCCCCCCCCCCCCUCGCUCCUUCUCCUGCGCGCACAAAAGCGCAACACUUUGACCAUCGCAGUCUAAGCGCUAAACGGGUCAAAGCUCACCUUCCCGAUGGACACCAUGAGCUUACAAACUAGGAACACUCCGUUUUAUUUCCUCCCCACGUUUCAAAGGCUAGACGAGACAAUAUGUAAAAAGAGAGAAUGCAAUACAAAUAGGGCUAGAUAAACAAAUGCAAAAUCGCCUACAGGUUGUGACAGGCAAUGUUGCGCACUGAAUUACGUAAGGCUAUGUGCACCUCGUCGAACGACCAAACACGAAGGCCACUCCCCAACCAGGAAUGCUAGACAACAAUCUCCACACACACACACACACACACACACACACACA